RNAcentral lists this non-coding RNA (187 nucleotides) under Blautia hydrogenotrophica. RNAcentral also lists the same sequence under 1 other name. The record is from RNAcentral. Lineage: Bacteria; Bacillati; Bacillota; Clostridia; Lachnospirales; Lachnospiraceae.
UUUAACAUAAUACAAUAUGGUGUUGUCCGUUCAUAAAUGCGGAUAACUUAAAAAGGAAUCUGGUAAAAGCCAGGACAGCCCCCGCUACUGUGAGAAGGACGAAACUCAAAGACCACUGGAGCCAUCCGGGAAGGUGAGGAGUAGAAUGAAUUCGAGUCAGGAGACUUGCCAUAUUGCGUUGUUACAG